RNAcentral lists this ribosomal RNA (254 nucleotides) under uncultured bacterium. RNAcentral describes it as "partial 16S ribosomal RNA". It matches the Rfam family "Bacterial small subunit ribosomal RNA", at positions 524 to 776 of the family's 1533-position model. The record is from RNAcentral.
UACGUAGGCAGCAAGCGUUGUUCGGAGUUACUGGGCGUAAAGAGUAUGUAGGCGGUUGGGUAAGUUUGGUGUGAAAUCUCCCGGCUUAACUGGGAGGGUGCGCUAAAGACUGCCUGGCUCGAGUGUGGGAGAGGAAAGCGGAAUUCCUGGUGUAGCGGUGAAAUGCGUAGAUAUCAGGAGGAACACCUGCGGUGUAGAACGGCUUUCUGGACCAUAACUGACGCUGAGAUACGAAAGCGUGGGUAGCAAACAGG